CUUGUUUUAGAAUUUUGCUAAGCUAUUAUGAUCUGCACAAAAAUUUAGUUUAGUGGUUUCCAUGACUUGAUCCUGCAUAUGAAUUUAAAUUUCGUUAGUUUCUCCAGCUUAUUGGAAAUUACUAUUACUAGUGUGCUAGUAUAAAGGUUAAGUGACCGGGCUUUCUUUCAAUCAAAAUUGUUACAUAAUGCAAUUGUGCGUUUGGUCCAAAAUUUUGCUUAUUCAACUGUUGUGAUCAUUGUUGGAUAUCAUAUAUUAUUCAUUACAAUGUCCAAGGUUUGGAAUUAUUAUAAUUUUAGGGGAGGUUCUGCAGGAAUUUCGGUUUUAUUUGUUGUGU
This 337-nucleotide long non-coding RNA is filed under the name Malus domestica (apple). RNAcentral's name for it is "long non-coding RNA (MDOM_LNC014724)". Lineage: Eukaryota; Viridiplantae; Streptophyta; Magnoliopsida; Rosales; Rosaceae. The record is from RNAcentral.